GUCCACUCUGUUCCUGCUCCCGGUGGGGCUGCAGCCAGCACCCUUCAUGGCAGCCAGGCCCAGUCAGCUGAUAUGGAUCCCAAGAGGGCCCAAGGCCCCAGGGGCUCUGGGCAAGUUCCUUGGCUACAGGAAGAGGCCUCCUCUGCACUUGUCCAGCCACCCGAGUGAUUGACUCCACUUCACAGGAAAGGAGACCCUGAGAGAGAAUGGAACUGGGUCAAGGUCUCCCAGAGUCGGUGCUGAAGCUGGGUAGGAACCUACAUUCCUGAUUCCUAGACCAGAAAUGAGAGAGAGGGGGGCGCUCAUUCGUUCAUCCAUUCACACCUUCAAGGAUUGAGCACCUGGGACAGCAGCAGGAAGAAGGUAGACCUGGUUCCCGCCCUCGGGAGCUCACAGUCUCCGAACGGGUCAGACACGCAGCCCGACCAGGGAAGGCCAUUAGAGUGGGGUGGACGUGGACGGCAGAGAAGAGAGUUAAAGCAGCUCAAGAUAACGGGCCGGAGAGAGUGGGGAGUUCAGGGAGCUGCUGGUAAGAUUAAGGCAGGGAAAGUAGGGAGCACGGAAGAGGUGGGAUCCUGAGUACCCUGCUUUCCUUCCCAGGGUAAUGAGGAGAGGCAUCCCCUACCCCCACUUUCAAGCAAGGGAGGUGCGUCCUCGUCCUGGGGUUUCGAGCAGGUCUCUCCGAGCAGGUCCCUUCCUGGCCAGCCGGGCUGGGGCGGGGCGGAACAGGGGUAGGGUGGCGCGGCUGGGCGCAAAGGUCCAGCAGCGGGCCACGCAGGCGCCGGGCUGACCUGGCAAAACUUUGGCGUCUCUGAAAACCUCUGCUCACCCGCUCCCUUCUAGCGUGAGGGAGCCGGGCGGCCUCCUUCAGGCCCGGCAGUGGGACCGUCGCCGCCCGCCCCUCCCAUUGCAGCACCGGUACAGACGCGCUGACCCCGCGGCCGUGUCGCUGGGCGGCGUCCCGGAGCGGGUGGCGAGGUAUCUAACCGGGCGGGUUGAGGGCGGUGCCAGGGUUGGUCAAAGGUCCGCCCCGCCCCCUGCCUGGCCCGGCUUCGGGGUGGGGAACAGCGCAGGGAGGUGGGUAGCUGGGCUCCCAGGCACGUGGGUCUCUGCGGCGGCGGCUGGACGCAGGCACUGGCACCCGGGAGCCGCGGCGACUGCACGCCGGGCGGAGAAGCGCAGCGCAGGGGCGAGAGCAUCCCGCACAGGGCUGAGCUGAACUGAGAGAGCAGCAGCAGCCCCCAUCCCCUGUUUCUGGCCCCAGCUUCUCCAGUAAAGGCCUGGCUGCAGGUGAGCUCCAUGUCACUCCAAAGAAGGGCAAACCAGAAUAUGGUUAUCAAAGUGGGUGGCACAGUUUGCCGGAACAGUGUGAUCUGGGACACUGCAGGACCUAGAGUGCCCAGGCUAAAGACCUGGAUUUUAUCCUGAAGGCAAUAAGGAGCCAUGGAAAUUUAUGAGCAGAGGAGUUUCAUGGUCAGGUGGCAUUUCAGAAAGAGCUCUCUGGCUGCAGGAUGGAGAAUGGAUCAAGUAGUGCCAAGUGCAGGAAGGUCAGGGCAUUUGUGAUGUCAACACUAGAACUGUCCCAGGAGUUGUUUAAACCCUAAUUGAGUCCUUGCCCGUUGGCCAGACACUUUUCCCUGAGCCUUCAGAUGCUCCUGCUGAGGAAUUUGGGGACCUGCAAUUGAUCUCAUUCCAGCUCUGCUCCCAGCUUGUUGGAUGACCAGUUCCUGCCCUGCUAGGCUCUAAAAGGAGGCCAGAACAAGUAAGAUCCUGCAUGGGAGAGUAUGUGUGUGGGGAGGCCCUGGCACAAAAGGUUUGUCACUCUUUCUCCUUUUCUCCCUGUCUUGGGCUUUCUUGGAGUCUGGUCAGAGGGGUUAGGUAUCCCAGUGGGUAACCCUCAGAAAUGACUACCAAACUUGGGCUGUGUAGUGAGGCUGUGGCUCCUCUGUUUGUCUCCCUCCUGCCCUGGAUGCAUAAGGCUCUAAGAAGGUGUGAGGGUAUCACCAGGGCCUCAUGAGUGACCCCAUGAGAGCUUUGACUUAAUGGCUAUAGUCUUUAGAGAGGCCAUUGUCCCUCUCUAGGUGUCAGUUCUGCCAUCUGUAAAUUGAGAAUGGUGAUCCUUGCUUUUUGAGGGCAAAGUUGCUACGAGGAUUAAGAUAGUGACCAGGGAAGAGCUUUAUAAGCCUUAAACUGCAGUGCUUGGAGAAGGAAUGUGAUACUCAUAGACUUAAAUUCAUUUUGAAGACUGUAAGAGAACAUGGGUGCAAUAGCAAGGGGUUGUGCUGGUUAUUGAAAUUUAAUUACUGAAUGCCUUCCUCCCCUACCCGCUCUGCAGAGAUGGCUUCACUAGUAAUGAUUUACAAUCCAUUUUGUCUUCCUAUAGACCUGUGAGGCAGGAAUUGAAUCUCCAUUUUGCAGAUCAGGAAAUAGAGGCAUGGAUUGUAUCUUGCCCAGGGUCACCAAGCUGAGGUGAAACCUGGGGCUCCAGUCCAUCUGCCAGCUUAGCCCUCCCCAUCUGAGACAGAGCCCUGUGGGGUCGGGCCUGGUCCUCUGGCUUCCAGGCUGAGAGGAGUUUGAAUUCUGCCCUGGGAACCUGUGUUUGGGGCUUUCUUGUGGCCAGAUUACCCAACUGCUGAUAAGAUAAUGCCUGCCCAG
Molecule: long non-coding RNA, 2655 nt
Organism: Macaca fascicularis (crab-eating macaque)
Lineage: Eukaryota; Metazoa; Chordata; Mammalia; Primates; Cercopithecidae
Source: Ensembl